Molecule: transfer RNA, 73 nt
Filed under: Bos taurus (domestic cattle)
Lineage: Eukaryota; Metazoa; Chordata; Mammalia; Artiodactyla; Bovidae
Also listed under: 1 other name
Rfam family: tRNA
About the family: Transfer RNA (tRNA) molecules are approximately 80 nucleotides in length.
Source: Rfam by way of RNAcentral
UCCCUGAUAGCUCAGUUGGUAAAGAAUCUGCCUGCAAUGCAGGAUACCCUGGUUCAGUUUCUGGGUUGGGGAG